This 305-nucleotide ribosomal RNA is filed under the name uncultured bacterium. RNAcentral describes it as "bacterial SSU rRNA". It matches the Rfam family "Bacterial small subunit ribosomal RNA", at positions 28 to 334 of the family's 1533-position model. The record is from RNAcentral.
GACGAACGCUGGCGGCGUGCCUAACACAUGCAAGUCGAACGGAAUUGUUCCUUCGGGGACAACUUAGUGGCGAACGGGUGAGUAACGCGCGAGGAACCUGCCUUUCAGUGGGGGAUAACAGUUAGAAAUGACUGCUAAUACCGCAUAAGCACACGUGGUCGCAUGAUCGAGUGUGAAAAACUCCGGUGGUAUGAGAUGGACCCGCGUCUGAUUAGCUAGUUGGUGGGGUAAUGGCCCACCAAGGCGACGAUCAGUAGCCGGCCUGAGAGGGUGAACGGCCACAUUGGGACUGAGACACGGCCCAA